AUACGUAGGUGGCAAGCGUUGUCCGGAAUUAUUGGGCGUAAAGGGCGCGCAGGCGGCGUCGUAAGUCGGUCUUAAAAGUGCGGGGCUUAACCCCGUGAGGGGACCGAAACUGCGAUGCUAGAGUAUCGGAGAGGAAAGCGGAAUUCCUAGUGUAGCGGUGAAAUGCGUAGAUAUUAGGAGGAACACCAGUGGCGAAAGCGGCUUUCUGGACGACAACUGACGCUGAGGCGCGAAAGCCAGGGGAGC
This 246-nucleotide ribosomal RNA is filed under the name uncultured bacterium. RNAcentral's name for it is "partial 16S ribosomal RNA". It matches the Rfam family "Bacterial small subunit ribosomal RNA", at positions 523 to 769 of the family's 1533-position model. The record is from RNAcentral.